UACGGAGGGGUGCAAGCGUUUAUCCGGAUUCACUGGGUUUAAAGGGUGCGUAGGCGGGUAAGUAAGUCCGUGGUGAAAUCUCUGAGCUUAACUCAGAAACUGCCGUGGAUACUAUUUGCCUUGAAUAUUGUGGAGGUGAGCGGAAUAUGUCAUGUAGCGGUGAAAAUGCUUAGAUAUGACAUAGAACACCAAUUGCGAAGGCAGCUCACUACUCAAUCAUUGACGCUGAGGCACGAAAGCGUGGGGAUCAAACAGG
RNAcentral lists this ribosomal RNA (256 nucleotides) under uncultured bacterium. Its description in RNAcentral is "partial 16S ribosomal RNA". It matches the Rfam family "Bacterial small subunit ribosomal RNA", at positions 524 to 776 of the family's 1533-position model. The record is from RNAcentral.